AAAUGAAUAGACGGGGGCCCGCACAAGCGGUGGAGCAUGUGGCUUAAUUCGAUGCAACGCGAAGAACCUUACCAGGCCUUGACAUGCACUGGACCGACGCUGAAAGGCGUCUUUCCCGCAAGGGACCGGUGCACAGGUGCUGCAUGGCUGUCGUCAGCUCGUGUCGUGAGAUGUUGCGUUAAGUCGCGCAACGAGCGCAACCCCUGUCCUUAGUUGCCACCAUUAAGUUGGGCACUCUAGGGAGACAAACCCUCUAUGAGGGUGGGAAGGUGGGGAUGACGUCAAGUCAGGAUGGCCCUUACGGCCUGGGCUGCACACGUGCUACAAUGCUCGGUACAGAGGGAAGCAAUACCGCAAGGUGGAGCAAAUCCUCAAAACCGAGCCCAGUUCAGAUUGCAGUCUGCAACUCGACUGCAUGAAGCCGGAAUCGCUAGUAAUGGCGUAUCAGCUACGACGCCGUGAAUACGUUCCCGGGCCUUGUACACACCGCCCGU
Molecule: ribosomal RNA, 494 nt
Filed under: uncultured bacterium
Lineage: Bacteria
Description: bacterial SSU rRNA
Rfam family: Bacterial small subunit ribosomal RNA
Source: RNAcentral